This 3965-nucleotide long non-coding RNA is filed under the name Homo sapiens (human). Its description in RNAcentral is "non-protein coding lnc-ANKLE2-2:1". Lineage: Eukaryota; Metazoa; Chordata; Mammalia; Primates; Hominidae. The record is from RNAcentral.
CCCCGGCUGCCGCUUCCGGGCGGCGGGGGCGGAAGUCCCGCCUCCUGGGGCGCGGCAGGACGCGGGGCAGCCUUGCGCGAAGGGGCGUUUUCGUGGAGCCACCUGCCGCGCCACGCUCCAGUCCCGUCACUUGUGCUCGCGAGCGCCGGUGCGCGCAGGUGCGGGCGGGGUUGUGGGGACGCCGGGAGGGCGGCGCGGUACUUUCCAGAAGGUUCCGCACCGGAAGCGCCUGCCGAGGCCGGAGGCUGGGUGCAGGGGCGGAGACGCGGAGAACUUGGGAUCCUGGUUUAAGGGAGCUGGGAAGCUGCCGCAGGUUUGUUUAAACGAUAUUUUUUUGGUGGCGGAACACGAAGUAAAGUUUUCCGUCGGCGCAGUUCCUGCGUGUGCUGUUCAAGCGGCCUGAAGUGCGUUCAGGUUCGGCCGGGCUGUCCCUCCUCCUGGUCCCGACCCCUCAAACCCCGGGCCGAACACCGCCCUCUCCUGCGGGACAGUCUUUCUAUGGCCGGCGCGUUUCGCCUAGCAGGGUCCUCAGAGGGACCGCGUUAGAGCCUGGGUUUCCUUCCAGGGGGACCAGCGCUCCCUGGGUGGACCGACCCCACCGCUUACCCAUUGCUGGACGCCUGCGUGCACCGACCCCACCGCUUACCCAUUGCUGGACGCUUGCCCUGUUGCCAUCUCCUCGCUAGCGUGAACAGUGCUGCGUGCAGAUCUCUCUUUCAUUGAUUGUUUUGCGUCUGUACCCAGAAGUGGGAUUGCUGGACCAUCUCUGCCCAUUUUAAAAUUGGGAAAUGACAUGAUCUGAUUUAAGCUAUUUAAAAAUCACUUGGGCCUGGGCUCGGUGGCUCACGCGUGUAAUCACAACACUUUGGGAAGCCGAGACAGGCGGAUCACCUGAGGUCAGAAGUUUGAGACCAGCCUGGCCAACAUGGUGAAACCCGGUCUCUACUAAAAAUACAAAAAUUAGCCGGGCACGGUGGCUCCAGCCUGUAAUACCAGCUACUCAGGAGGCUGAGGCAGGAGAGUUGCUUGAACCCAGGAAGCGGAGGUUGCAGUGAGCUGAGAUUGCCUCACUGCACUCCAGCCUGGGCAACAGAGUGAAACAAUGUCUCAAAAAAAUAAAAAUAAAAAAACUGAAUGGUUCCACAGAAAUACUGAGACUUCUGCUUAAACAGGCUUUCUUGAACCUGUACGCUUCCAGUUGGGUCUGCUGCUUCCAGGUCAUUUACUAAAAAUGAUAGGAAGAUUUAAAAAAUAAAAAUAAAAGGAAGGCCGGGCGUGGUGGCUCACGCCUGUAAUCCCAGCACUUUGGGAGGCCUAGGUGAGCGGAUCACGAGGUCAGGAGCUCGAGACCAUCCUGGCUAACACGGUGAAAACCCGUCUCUACUAAUAAUACAAAAAAAAAAAAAAAAAAUAGGGCAUGGUGGCGGGUGCUUGUAGUCCCAGCUACUAGGGAGGCUGAGGCAGGAGAAUGCCGUGAACCCGGGAGGCGGAGCUUGCAGUGAGCCGAGAUCGCGCCACUGCACUCCAGACUGGGCGACAGAGCGAGACUCUGUCUCAAAAAAAUAAAGGAAAAUUGGGCCGGGCGCAGUGCCUCACGCCUGUAAUCCCAGCACUUUGGGAGGCUGAGGUGGGCGGAUCACGAGGUUAGGAGAUCAAGACCAGCCUGACCAACAUGGUGAAACCCCGUCUUUACUGAAAUACAAAAAAGCCUGGCGUGGUGGUGCGCGCCUGUAGUCCCUGCUACUCGAGAGCCUAAGGCCGGAUAAUCGCUUGAACCUGGGAGGCAGAGGUUGCAGUGAGCCAGGAUGGUGCCACUGCACUCCAGCCUGGGUGACAGAGACUCUGUCUCAAAAAAAAGAAAAUCAGCCAGGCUCAGUGGCUCAUGCCUGUAAUCCCAGCACUUUGGGAGGCCGAGGCGGGCAGAUCACCUGAGAUCAGGAGUUUGAGACCAGCCUGGCCAACAUGGUGAAACCCCAUCUCUACUAAAAAUACAAAAAUUAGCUGGUACAUACCUGUAAUCCCAGCUACCCAGGAGGCUGAGGCAGGAGAAUCGCUGGAAUCCAGGAGGCAGAAGCUGCAGUGAGCUGAGAUCACACUACUGCACUCCAGCCUGGGUGACAGAGCAAGACUCCAUCUCAAAAAAUAAAAUAAAAAACAAGGGAAAAUCCACAAGGACAUAGUUGAAUCCAUAAGAAGAAAUGACAGCAGAUAAAUCAGUUAACAAAAGUUCAAGAGCUGGAGAUCAGAUCUUUAUCGACCUGAGAAUAUGGAACACCAGUGCCUAUGUGGAAGGAAACCAGGAAGCAAGUUCAUUUAAUCCAGUGAGUCUGGAAGAGUCUGGGAGUUGGCAGCAUUAGCCUCCUGUCUGAGAGCUGUGGGGCUGAAAGCAGGAGCAUUUAGAGGAAAAGGUUGCCUUCCACAUUUCGUUUCUCCCCCACAUGUUCAGGGGAAUAGCUCACUUUCAUCACCGUGGAGCACUAGAGAAAGGCCAUUCCAGGGGACUUGAACAGGAGGGUUCUGGAUUUCAGGACACCAAGCAUAGCUCAGAUUGGGGAUGCAGUAAUAAAGAUGGGAUUAUACAGAGUUCACAUAAGGAAGAGUAGGACCUCUAACCCCUUUCCUCCAGAUAGCCACAAGAAUGUUGGCCACUAGGCUCAUUCCCUGCUCAGCUACCACCACCAUCCUUCCCCCAAUGCCCUGACAAGAACUAAAGGAUUCCUCUGUGUGGAAACUGACCAGCCCAGGAGAAAAUAUUUUUUUUUAAUGUAUUUUUUACGCCGGGCGCAGUGGCUCAUGCUCGAUAAUCCCAGCACUUUGAGAGGCCGAGACAGGCGGAUGGAUCACUUGAGGUCAGGAGUUCGAGACCAGCCUGGCCAACAUGGUGAAACCCCAUCUCUACUAAAAAUACAAAAAAUUAGCAGGGCAUAGUGGCACGCGCUGGUAAUCCCAGCUACUCAGGAGGCUGAGCCAGGAGAAUCACUUGGAAACGGGAGGCUGCAGUGAGCUGAGAUCAUGCCACCGCACUCCAGCCUGGGCAACAGAGUGAGACUCUGUCUCAAAAAAAAAAAAAAAAAAAAAGCCUGUUUUCUGAUGACUGUUAAGUGUGUGAAACUAAAAACUCCUGGUCUCUGCUCUCCCCUGUGUGCCUGACAGCACUCCGUAAAGGUGUGUUCAGCGAACUGACCGGAUGCGGGCUGUGGUAAGCCAUAUACAUGAUGUGAAAUCUUCUCCAGCAAAUUCUCUUGACCUUGCCGUGACACUCUGAUGCCCUAUGAUGAGGUGGUGAAGAUGGUGGCUCAAGACCUGGCUGACUGCCUCUGAAUCAGGACUGUCUCUUGCUAGCUGAGGCAUCUUGCAUCCCCCACAUGUGGAGUAGAGAAAACAAUGGCACCUCCCUCAGGGCUGCUGCAGCUCUCAGAAGAGUUCCGGCACAAAGCAGCCCUAAGCGGUGUCAGUACUGUCAUCUCUGGAUUCUAAUCUAGAAUCUGUUCUGAGAUCCAGGUUCUUAAUCCUCCAUCAUGGCAGGGGGUGGGACUCACUGGGAAGUGGCAAGUUAGAGGGAUAGUCAGAAUUGUCACCUUCUGCAUCAAUUGCAGGAGCAUCUGUUACUUUUGCAAAUGCCCUAAACUUCCUUUGGGAACGACCCCACCUUAAAUAUUCUGAACUGAAAGAGCAGUUCUUUGAAAACCCAAGGCAAGCAGGACUUGAGCAGGCAUUAGUGCCGCUGUCUUCACCGCCACAUCCUUCACGGCAUCCAGGAGCUGGAAACAGUCUAGCCACUGACGGACAGACGGACAGGCAAAAUGCAGUCCACGCACACGGCAAUGUUCAGCCUUUUAAGUUUUUAAUUUUUAUUUUAUUAUUUCUUAGUAGAGAGGGGGUUUCAUCAUGUUGGCCAGGCUGGUUUCAAACUCCUGACCUCAAGUAAUCCGCCUGCCUCGGCCUCAAAAAGUGCUAGGAUUACA